Molecule: ribosomal RNA, 253 nt
Filed under: uncultured bacterium
Lineage: Bacteria
Description: partial 16S ribosomal RNA
Rfam family: Bacterial small subunit ribosomal RNA
Source: RNAcentral
GACGUAGGGCGCGAGCGUUGUCCGGAUUUAUUGGGCGUAAAGAGCUCGUAGGCGGUUUGUCGCGUCUGCUGUGAAAACUCAGGGCUUAACCCUGAGCCUGCAGUGGGUACGGGCAGACUAGAGUGUGGUAGGGGAGAUCGGAAUUCCUGGUGUAGCGGUGGAAUGCGCAGAUAUCAGGAGGAACACCGGUGGCGAAGGCGGAUCUCUGGGCCAUAACUGACGCUGAGGUGCGAAAGCGUGGGGAGCAAACAGG